RNAcentral lists this transfer RNA (74 nucleotides) under Candidatus Omnitrophus magneticus. It matches the Rfam family "tRNA". From Rfam's summary of the family: Transfer RNA (tRNA) molecules are approximately 80 nucleotides in length. Their secondary structure includes four short double-helical elements and three loops (D, anti-codon, and T loops). Further hydrogen bonds mediate the characteristic L-shaped molecular structure. tRNAs have two regions of fundamental functional importance: the anti-codon, which is responsible for specific mRNA codon recognition, and the 3' end, to which the tRNAs corresponding amino acid is attached (by aminoacyl-tRNA synthetases). tRNAs cope with the degeneracy of the genetic code in two manners: having more than one tRNA (with a specific anti-codon) for a particular amino acid; and 'wobble' base-pairing, i.e. permitting non-standard base-pairing at the 3rd anti-codon position. Lineage: Bacteria; Pseudomonadati; Candidatus Omnitrophota. The record is from Rfam by way of RNAcentral.
GCGCCCAUAGCUCAGCUGGAUAGAGUAACUGGCUUCGAACCAGUAGGUCGCAGGUUCAAGUCCUGCUGGGCGCG